RNAcentral lists this ribosomal RNA (500 nucleotides) under uncultured bacterium. RNAcentral describes it as "bacterial SSU rRNA". It matches the Rfam family "Bacterial small subunit ribosomal RNA", at positions 996 to 1512 of the family's 1533-position model. The record is from RNAcentral.
GGGAACCGAAAGGGGACCGACCUUCGGGAGCCGAUACAGGUGCUGCAUGGCUGUCGUCAGCUCGUGUCGUGAGAUGUUCGGUUAAGUCCGGUAACGAGCGCAACCCUCAGGUCCAGUUACAGGUGUCUGGAGCGACUGCCCGUAGAAAGCGGGAGGAAGGUGGGGAUGACGUCAAGUCAGCAUGGCCUUGAUGCCUAGGGCUACACACACGCUACAAUGGCCAGCACAAUGGGUUGCCAACCCGCGAGGGGGAGCCAAUCUUACAAAGCUGGUCUCAGUUCGGAUUGCAGGCUGCAACCCGCCUGCAUGAAGUCGGAGUUGCUAGUAAACGCGCAUCAGCUAUGGCGCGUUGAAUACGUUCCCGGGCCUUGUACACACCGCCCGUCACGUCAUGGGAGCUGGUCAUGCCUGAAGUCGGUGGGCUAACCUCACGGAGGCCGCCGCCGAAGGCAGGGCUGGUGACUGGGACGAAGUCGUAACAAGGUAGCUGUACCGGAAGG